Molecule: long non-coding RNA, 1251 nt
Filed under: Betta splendens (Siamese fighting fish)
Lineage: Eukaryota; Metazoa; Chordata; Actinopteri; Anabantiformes; Osphronemidae
Description: lncRNA (ENSBSLG00000011501.1)
Source: RNAcentral
GUACAGUCUCCUGAUAGUCUCCUGGAGUAUGAAGGCCAGCCUGGUGCUACAUGUGUUUCUUGUGGGACUUUGCCAGGCUCAUCCUCCACCAGACAGGACGAAGCAGACAGAUGGGGUCCCCGUGUCCCAGCUCAGGAUGCUCUCGCUGGGACUGGCUCGCCUCCUGCAUGGGGUAGCGGAGACCGCUGCGCAGAUGGAGCGGCAGGCAGAGCACGUGUUGGCAGGGCUGGACCGAGCCACAAAUAGUCUAGAAAGUCUGCGCAAGCAAAGUUUACAAGCUGGACGGACUCACAAGCAGGUGAGGACGGACCUUCAGAUCUUCAGCGCGAAGGGGGACAGUCUGCAGAGAACGGUCAGAGACCUGCAGGAGAGGCUGGAGGACCUGGAGAAGGAGCAGGGAACCAUGCAGUACUGGACCAACUGGAUCCAUGACAAAGUGAGGAGCCUGACUCAGCCUGGUUCAGCAGCUCAGGCUCAGAUCAACACAAACUCUAUAAAGAAUAUCAUGGAUAAACAGGCCAAGUGGCUUGACAGCCUGACCUCUGAGGUGUCAGCGCGAGACAGACUGAUCAACAGGCGCCUGCGGCUCAUCAAGCAACUGGAAAAACGGGUAGACUAUCACUCCAGACAGUCAUCUGUUUAAUGGACAACAAGGAAAUAACUAGGUUCCCCCUAGGUUACUAUCCAUGACUGCUGUCAUUACUACUGCAGUAGUAGUACAGUAGCAGUUAGAGUUGUGGAUGCCGAGCACAGGGCAAUCUUUGAUUUCCACAGUGAAAUGGUUUAGGAAACUUUGUGUUUUGUAAUGUUGUCAAAAAGGUCAUUUUUGCUGUAGGAAAAUCAUCACCAACGUUUAUGAUAAUAUUCCGCUUGUAAAAGGUUUUCAGCUGAUAUAAACAUAAGAGGUGUCUACUGGUAAGUUCAAAUAGUCCAUUUUGUGACAUUUUUGGACUAUGAUUAAAAAUAUGUUUCUAAGCAAAAGCAAGUUCAACAAGCUGGUUUUCACAAACAACAUUUUUCCUUAAAAUGUUGCGAUGCAGUAGUUUUGGUUUGGAUCCUGCAUCCGUCAGUCAUAUUGUACAUUACUCCUACAGUUUCUGGACAAACAUUAUUGGCUUUGUAAAUUUCCCACGUGUUUGUGUGAGUUUGUUCAAAGUUUCUACCAGCUCAGAGGACAGACGUGUCCGAUGAGACCAGCUGCACCAACACAGUCACAAUAAACAACUGUGGAUCUACUAAAAAGAAAUAGUU